AGUGAAACGCUGGCGGCGUGCUUAACACAUGCAAGUCGAACGGAGUUUUAACGGAAGUUUCGGAUGGAAGUUAAGAACUUAGUGGCGGACGGGUGAGUAACGCGCGGGUAACCUAGCCUCAUACAGGGGGAUAACAGUUAGAAAUGACUGCUAACACCGCAUAAUAUAGUGAAACCGCAUGAUUUUUGCUAUCAAAUAUUUAUAGGUAUGGAGAUGGGCCCGCGUCUGAUUAGCUAGUUGGUGGGGUAAAAGCCUACCAAGGCGACGAUCAGUAGCCGGCUUGAGAGAGUGACCGGCCACAUUGGGACUGAGACACGGCCCAAACUCCUACGGGAGGCAGCAGUGGGGAAUAUUGGACAAUGGGGGAAACCCUGAUCCAGCGAACCGCCGCGUGAGUGAAGAAGUAUUUCGGUAUGUAAAGCUCUAUCAGCAGGGAAGAUAAUGACAGUACCUGACUAAGAAGCCCCGGCUAACUACGUGCCAGCCGCUGC
RNAcentral lists this ribosomal RNA (491 nucleotides) under uncultured bacterium. RNAcentral describes it as "bacterial SSU rRNA". It matches the Rfam family "Bacterial small subunit ribosomal RNA", at positions 32 to 518 of the family's 1533-position model. The record is from RNAcentral.